UACGUAGGGUGCGAGCGUUAAUCGGAAUUACUGGGCGUAAAGCGUGCGCAGGCGGUUCGUUGUGUCUGAUGUGAAAGCCCCGGGCUCAACCUGGGAAUGGCAUUGGAAACUGGCGAGCUAGAGUGUGGCAGAGGGGGGUGGAAUUCCGCGUGUAGCAGUGAAAUGCGUAGAGAUGCGGAGGAACACCGAUGGCGAAGGCAGCCCCCUGGGCCAAUACUGACGCUCAUGCACGAAAGCGUGGGGAGCAAACAGG
RNAcentral lists this ribosomal RNA (253 nucleotides) under uncultured bacterium. RNAcentral describes it as "partial 16S ribosomal RNA". It matches the Rfam family "Bacterial small subunit ribosomal RNA", at positions 524 to 776 of the family's 1533-position model. The record is from RNAcentral.